This 155-nucleotide ribosomal RNA is filed under the name Lipomyces lipofer. RNAcentral's name for it is "5.8S rRNA". It matches the Rfam family "5.8S ribosomal RNA". Rfam says of the family: 5.8S ribosomal RNA (5.8S rRNA) is a component of the large subunit of the eukaryotic ribosome. Lineage: Eukaryota; Fungi; Ascomycota; Lipomycetes; Lipomycetales; Lipomycetaceae. The record is from RNAcentral.
AACUUUCAACAACGGAUCUCUUGGUUCUCGCAUCGAUGAAGAACGCAGCAAAAUGCGAUAAGUAUUGUGAAUUGCAGAAUUUUGUGAAUCAUCGAAUUUUUGAACGCACAUUGCACCUUCUGGUAUUCCGGAGGGUAUACCUGUUUGAGCGUCAU